AACGAACGCUGGCGGCGUGCUUAACACAUGCAAGUCGAACGCGAAAGGGACUUCGGUCCUGAGUAAAGUGGCGCACGGGUGAGUAACGCGUAGAUAGCCUGUCUUCAUGUCUGGAAUAAUACGCCGAAAGGGGUACUAAUACCGGAUAUUCUUGCUUUUCAUAAGUUAUGCAAGCAAAGGUGGCCUCUGCAUAUGCUACUGCAUGAAGAGGGGUCUGCGUACCAUUAGCUAGUAGGUGGGGUAAUGGCCUACCUAGGCGACGAUGGUUAGCGGGUCUGAGAGGAUGAUCCGCCACACUGGCACUGGAACACGGGCCAGACUCCUACGGGAGGCAGCAGUGAGGAAUAUUGCGCAAUGGGGGAAACCCUGACGCAGCGACGCCGCGUGAGUGAAGGAAGGCCUUCGGGUCGUAAAGCUCUGUCAAGAGGAAAGAAGUGUACAAUGGCUAAUACCUGUUGUAUUUGACGGUACCUCUAAAGGAAGCACCGGCUAACUCCGUGCCAGCCGCUGC
This 511-nucleotide ribosomal RNA is filed under the name uncultured bacterium. Its description in RNAcentral is "bacterial SSU rRNA". It matches the Rfam family "Bacterial small subunit ribosomal RNA", at positions 29 to 518 of the family's 1533-position model. The record is from RNAcentral.